AGUGAACGCUGGCGGUAGGCCUAACACAUGCAAGUCGAACGGCAGCACAGGAGAGCUUGCUCUCUGGGUGGCGAGUGGCGGACGGGUGAGGAAUACAUCGGAAUCUACUCUGUCGUGGGGGAUAACGUAGGGAAACUUACGCUAAUACCGCAUACGACCUACGGGUGAAAGCAGGGGACCUUCGGGCCUUGCGCGAUUGAAUGAGCCGAUGUCGGAUUAGCUAGUUGGCGGGGUAAAGGCCCACCAAGGCGACGAUCUGUAGCUGGUCUGAGAGGAUGAGCAGCCACACUGGAAAUGAGACACGGUCCAGACUCCUACGGGAGGCAGCAGUGGGGAAUAUUGGACAAUGGGCGCAAGCCUGAUCCAGCCAUACCGCGUGGGUGAAGAAGGCCUUCGGGUUGUAAAGCCCUUUUGUUGGGAAAGAAAUCCAGCUGGCUAAUACCCGGUUGGGAUGACGGUACCCAAAGAAUAAGCACCGGCUAACUUCGUGCCAGCCGCCGCUGUAA
Molecule: ribosomal RNA, 506 nt
Filed under: uncultured bacterium
Lineage: Bacteria
Description: partial 16S ribosomal RNA
Rfam family: Bacterial small subunit ribosomal RNA
Source: RNAcentral